RNAcentral lists this transfer RNA (69 nucleotides) under Bathytroctes macrolepis (Koefoed's smooth-head). RNAcentral's name for it is "tRNA-Glu". It matches the Rfam family "tRNA". From Rfam's summary of the family: Transfer RNA (tRNA) molecules are approximately 80 nucleotides in length. Their secondary structure includes four short double-helical elements and three loops (D, anti-codon, and T loops). Further hydrogen bonds mediate the characteristic L-shaped molecular structure. tRNAs have two regions of fundamental functional importance: the anti-codon, which is responsible for specific mRNA codon recognition, and the 3' end, to which the tRNAs corresponding amino acid is attached (by aminoacyl-tRNA synthetases). tRNAs cope with the degeneracy of the genetic code in two manners: having more than one tRNA (with a specific anti-codon) for a particular amino acid; and 'wobble' base-pairing, i.e. permitting non-standard base-pairing at the 3rd anti-codon position. Lineage: Eukaryota; Metazoa; Chordata; Actinopteri; Alepocephaliformes; Alepocephalidae. The record is from RNAcentral.
GUUCCCGUAGUUGAAUCACAACGGUGGUUUUUCAAGUCAUUGGUCUCGGUUGGAGUCCGGGCGGGAAUU